Non-coding RNA from Oryza nivara, 210 nucleotides. Lineage: Eukaryota; Viridiplantae; Streptophyta; Magnoliopsida; Poales; Poaceae. The record is from Rfam.
AAAAAAACAAACCCUGAGUUUCCGUGUCCAACGUUUGACUGUCCGUCUUAUUUAAAAAAAUUAUGAAAAAAAAAAUUAAAAAAUACAAGUCAUGCAUAAAGUAUUAAUCAUAUUUUAUCAUCUAACAACCAUGAAAAUACUAAUUAUAAAAAAAAUUCAUAUAAAACGGACAGUCAAAAGUUAGAUAAAAAACCCAGGGUUUAUCUUUUU